Molecule: long non-coding RNA, 701 nt
Organism: Cygnus olor (mute swan)
Lineage: Eukaryota; Metazoa; Chordata; Aves; Anseriformes; Anatidae
Exons: 5
Source: RefSeq, a predicted model, not a curated record
GGGAAAUCAGCAGAGCAAUGCCUAGGAGAAGGGUCCUGGUGGGGCUGGGAGCCCCCCGACUCUGGAGCUAACCCCAGAUACAGGGUUGCUUGGGAUUUCAGAAGACUGGAUGUGAUCAUACCUGUUUGGAGGAAUAACAAGAAGAUUCGAGGUGCAGGAAACACGCUGAUACAUUACUGGUCCAGUUUAACUGGAAAACUGCAGGACUAGAAACUUCUUUUGAAAUUAAAACUGAGAUCCUCAUGUAACAAAAUAACCUCGGGAGUCAGGGCUUUCUGGAGAACCUCACGCAUCUCAGUAGUCUCUUAGUGAUCUGCAGCAGCGGUCAGAAGCACUCAGGACCUCAAAAUCCUUUCAGUCCGUGAAAAGCCUGUCAGUGGCUCCAUGCAAAACAUGAUCUGGGAGGGAAGACUUGUAACCGAAGUUCUCCACUGCUGGUAUUAAUAACAAAAAGCCCGACGUGUAGCCUCUCCAACUUCCACCCGCCUCUGACAGGAUCAGGCCCUAACACGGCUUAGAGACAGAUGUUCUAGGAAGUCUCAAGUUGCUUAACAUUAUUUGUUCACACAUCCCAGCUGAUGCUAAAUCUUGUUAGAGAGGUGUUAAAUGUCUGAAGACGACAGAGGCACUAUCCAUUCCCAGAAUGAGUCACCAGGAUGGGAGAGCUGAGUCCAACUAUUACCACCCGCCAGGGCUUCCGA